GUAGCAGUGACGGGUAACGGGGAAUUAAGGUUUGAUUCCGGGGAGGGAACCUGAGAAACGGCUACAACAUAUAAAGAAGGCAGCCGGCGCGCCAAUUCCCCAAUCCUGGAUCAAGGGAGUAGUGACAAGAAAUAACAACACUUGAAAUUUUAUUUUUAGUGAUUGGGAUGAUUGGAAUCUUAACCCCUUUAAAAGUAACAAUUGGAGGGCAAGUCUGGUGCCAGCAGCCGCCGUAAUUCCAGCUCCAAUAGCGUAUAUUAAAGUUGUUGCAAUUAAAAAGCUAGUAGUUUGAUAUCUGCAAGCAGCCAUCCGUCCGCCCUAUUUGGGGUGUGCACUUGUUGAAUUGUGGCAUCUAUUAUUCCUAAUAUGAUGAUGGCUUUGAGUCCUCAUUACCGUUUGGAAUAAUACAGUUACUUUGAGAAAAUUAGAGUGUUUGAAGCAGGCUUAUUGCCUUGAAUACUGCAGCAUGGAAUAACAAUAUAGGAUUUCGGUUCUAUUUUGUUGGUUUCUAGGACUGAAAUAAUGGUUAAUAGGGACAGUUGGGGGCAUUCGUAUU
This 556-nucleotide ribosomal RNA is filed under the name Sarcocystis sp. Its description in RNAcentral is "bacterial SSU rRNA". It matches the Rfam family "Eukaryotic small subunit ribosomal RNA", at positions 346 to 898 of the family's 1831-position model. Lineage: Eukaryota; Apicomplexa; Conoidasida; Eucoccidiorida; Sarcocystidae. The record is from RNAcentral.